Molecule: long non-coding RNA, 1719 nt
Organism: Macrobrachium nipponense
Lineage: Eukaryota; Metazoa; Arthropoda; Malacostraca; Decapoda; Palaemonidae
Exons: 3
Source: RefSeq, a predicted model, not a curated record
ACACGAGUGACCUCCAUAAACGAAGAGAAAAGGGAACCCAAACUGCUGAUCUAUGCCAUGUUAACCCGGAGUAUAAAAAUUUGCUGACGACUUAGGGGAACAGUUCUCCAUGAAGAACAGAAGAAUAUAUAAGGGAUGAACUAAGAGGGCGAGAUUUAAAAGGAUAAAUAGAUCUGGCAGCGCUGUAUUCAAUUCCCUGGCUCCACUCUAGCGAUCUUAGAAUGUUUGAGAGACUAAUGUAGCGUGGUCUAAUCCCAGUUUGUCACCUGGAUCCAAGAAUUGUAAAGGAAAGAGUCUGCUGAAGCCCCCAAGCAUAAAUGGGACAAGCUGAUUAAGACUCCAGCCUCACCUUGGAACUCCACAGGAAAAGUGCAGUUUUAAGAAGAGCAUCAACUAAAGACUACUACAUUUAUUUUCCAUCAAUAUUGUUGUAAAGGGCCUGAAUGAAGAAGAGAAAGUGGCUCCAUUAUCGUAAAUGCUAACAAGUCAUCCGUUCACACAAACAGAACAAUUUUACAGUAGUUGACAAUUGAAACUAUGAUAGUGUCAAGUUCAUGACCAUGAGAAAAAUAAUAGUUGAUCAGGGUCAUUAUGGUGCCUAUUUUCCCAAAACUGAAUAGAGGUCAGCUCUGCUUCUUGUGAUUUCUAAGUAGGAAUCGAAGGAUUCAUUGUUUUAAGAGGUGGUAGUUCACUGUGAUUCAAGAUAUGUCUUUUGUUAUCUAAUUCUGGUAUUGGUUCACUAUUUUCGUUAUCUCGUUGUAUCCGGUUACAUAUGUAGUUCAAUGUUUUUAUUCAUACGAGAUAGCUGACAUACUUCAGGAUGCAUUUUUCUACGCAAAGACUCAUAAGUUUAAGAUCGGUUAUCAAAGCUCCGAUUGUUUCACGAUACAUUGCCUGUAGUUCUCAUUAAUUUGAUAUCCAUCAGAUGAUGCUUCAGGCAACAUGAUAUUUAACUUUAAUUUCUCAAUGUAAUAUCAGGUAUAGGUUGUCAUGGCUACAUUUUACAUAUCGAGAAGUCACGGAAGUUUAAGGAUCUUUAUUUUUUUCAUGAACUUAGGUUUUGAUUUGCAGGAUGUUAUAGGUCAUUGUUCAGGGCACACUUACCUGGGUAUGGGUAUGAAGAUCACGUGUGAUUGCCUACAUUAGUAGGUUGUGGUUUUGUUGUCAGUCAUUUUUUCGAAUUUCAAAAACGCAAUAGCAAAAAAAUGUGCAUUACUUAAAAAGUGUAGGUUUUGCAGAUUUUAUGGAAUAUCAUCUUGUUGGUCAGUAUACUCAGGAAUAGUGUUGUGAAAUCAAACCUAAGAGUUAUUAACCUUAACAGAAUAGGUAACAUUUUCGACUGAAGUUGAAAUUUCUGUUAUUUUACUCUUAAACUAAUUUCUUAGUAGGAACUUGUGUUGAAGCUUAUACUCCUUGUAGCCUUCAUCCUUAGUUUGUUCCAGUUGUUGAUUUAUAUCAGAGUUCCUUUGGAAUCAAAUUGAUGAUUGUUUUGAAGUCUUUUGUUACUGUCGUGUAAGGUAUUCAUUGGUAAUUUUAUGUAAUCAUUAGGUUAUUGCAAGGCUUUGCUUAAUACACGGGAUAUAUCCCAGCCUGAAACAUUUAAACUUUUCCGCUGUUUACUUAGGAGAUAUUUCAGAUUUUAGUGAAUUAGUUUUAUCUGAUACUUUAUGGUAUAAAGAGCUGUUCAUUCGGUCAAGUAAGUAAACAAGACUUUGUGAA